ACUAUCUUUUUUUUUCAUUUAUUUAUUUAAUUCAUGUGUAUAUGUGUGUGCAUGGGUGCAUUAGAGCACAAGGGUAGAGGUCAGAGGGCAACUUGUAGAAGUCCAUUCUCUCUUCUAUGCAGCACCUGGGGAAUCAAGCUCUGUUCCCCCGGCUUGGUGACAAGUGUUCUUACCUGCAGCUCUUUUUGUUUUCUUGAGAUAGUGUCUUGCGAGCCCUGGAAAACAUAAUACACAUUCCAGCUAAGGCUGGCCUCGUGAUCAUGGCAGUCCUCUUGUCUCAAGCCUCCUGAGUGCUGAGAUUAUCGGUCUGGGCCCCCACAGCCUGAUUUAAAUAGUUUUCUUUAAGUGAAUACUGCAUAAGGCCAGAGCAGUGUCUCUCCGGCCUGUUACUCAAGGUUAACGGACGCGCCCAGUCCUGACAGGAGACCAGCAGAGAUCAAACAUGAAUGCAGAGGUGGGUGGUUAAGUGGAGAACGAACGGACGGACGUGUCCUGAGGCUUCUUGAAGGAAAGCGUUCUGGAGACAGAUUCAAAGAGAGAGCAAGAGUGGGCUACAACUGAAGCCUCUCGUAGGACAAUCUGAGGAGACAGGAAGAAGGACUGGAUAACCGUGGGUACAACUAACGGGUGGUCCUGACGGGGCGGGGUGCAGGUGGCUGCUUAAGUUUGUCCUGGGGAACAAUGUCUGUAAGUGAAAUAAGAAAAUGAGGGCUUGGCGCUCCUUGGUAUGGUGGAUGUUUAUUGUCGGUAUGGGGCGGGGGCAUAGGCAGGGGCAUCUGGAAGAGUCUAGAGUGUACAUGGCUGGCGGGCUGAAUCGAGCCGUAUGGGAGAAGGAGGGAGAUGGCAGAGCGGGAACCAAGAGCGGCAGGCUGCAGCCAAGAAGCAAAAAAGGACUGGUAGCCAAAAUGGCUGACGUCAUACAGGAAUCGGAGAAGGCAGCCCAUGCUUCUGGCUGGAGAGUUCCGGGUAGGGGGCGGGGCAUGCCAGCUGGGAGGACUUCCCUGUAGGACUGAGGGAAGACUGGAGCCAGAGUCUGCUUUGAUUUGCUAGCCAUUUGUCCUAAAUCUGAGACCUAACAGUCUGAGCCUAGGUAAUUGUAUGCAGAUAGUUGGGGCCCACUUUGUUCCCUUCUCGGAGCACAUUAAACAUUUCCUGAUGGUGGCAACUUUUAGAACAGCAGUCAAAUCCAGACCUCUCUCCUUCCGGGCCAGCUCAACUUGGAAAGAGUCUGCAACCCACGAGAGGUCCUUUGUGUCUGGACAUGGCUCAACACUUGACCCACCAAGAAAAGUUUUCAGGUGAAGAGGGCUACACCCUGGAAGAGCUACAGUUUGGUUUUGGAUUUAGAGGCACUGUGAACCCUUAAAGUUGCAGAACAUACACGGGGUGAGAGGAGGCCCGACCUGAAGUGAGGCCGUAGGGACCACGCUUCUCAGUGAGGAAAUACGGUGCACCAAAGGUAAGUUUUAGAACAUUUUAAUAUCCUUUUUUUUUCAGUGGAUGCAU
This is a long non-coding RNA of Rattus norvegicus (Norway rat), 1506 nucleotides long. RefSeq lists it as uncharacterized. The record is from RefSeq and is a predicted model, not a curated record. NCBI's taxonomy places the organism in Eukaryota, Metazoa, Chordata, Mammalia, Rodentia, Muridae.